This 24-nucleotide non-coding RNA is filed under the name Arabidopsis thaliana (thale cress). Lineage: Eukaryota; Viridiplantae; Streptophyta; Magnoliopsida; Brassicales; Brassicaceae. The record is from RNAcentral.
UCCUUUUGAGACACUUGUCAGGGA